RNAcentral lists this ribosomal RNA (650 nucleotides) under uncultured bacterium. RNAcentral's name for it is "bacterial SSU rRNA". It matches the Rfam family "Bacterial small subunit ribosomal RNA", at positions 80 to 765 of the family's 1533-position model. The record is from RNAcentral.
GUGGAACUCGGAUCAGUGGCGCACGGGUGCGUAACGCGUGGGGAUCUACCAUAGGGUACGGAAUAACUCAGAGAAAUUUGUGCUAAUACCGUAUAAUGUCGCAAGACCAAAGAUUUAUCGCCCUUUGAUGAACCCGCGUAAGAUUAGCUAGUUGGUGAGGUAAGAGCUCACCAAGGCGACGAUCUUUAGCUGGUCUGAGAGGAUGAUCAGCCACACUGGGACUGAGACACGGCCCAGACUCCUACGGGAGGCAGCAGUGGGGAAUAUUGGACAAUGGGCGAAAGCCUGAUCCAGCAAUGCCGCGUGAGUGAUGAGGGCCCUAGGGUCGUAAAGCUCUUUUACCAGGGAUGAUAAUGACAGUACCUGGAGAAUAAGCUCCGGCUAACUCCGUGCCAGCAGCCGCGGUAAUACGGAGGGAGCUAGCGUUGUUCGGAAUUACUGGGCGUAAAGCGCGCGUAGGCGGCUAUUCAAGUCAGAGGUGAAAUCCCGGAGCUCAACUCCGGAACUGCCUUUGAAACUAGAUAGCUAGAAUCUUGGAGAGGCGAGUGGAAUUCCGAGUGUAGAGGUGAAAUUCGUAGAUAUUCGGAAGAACACCAGUGGCGAAGGCGACUCGCUGGACAAGUAUUGACGCUGAGGUGCGAAAGCGUGGG